GUCCCUUCCAACUCUACAGUUCUACAAUUCUAUGAUUUAUUUGUCUAUGUUUCUCAUAGAAUCAUAGAAUCAUAGAAUCAUAGAAUCAUAGAGUUGGAAGAGAC
Molecule: non-coding RNA, 104 nt
Organism: Podarcis lilfordi (Lilford's wall lizard)
Lineage: Eukaryota; Metazoa; Chordata; Lepidosauria; Squamata; Lacertidae
Source: the annotation of a GenBank genome assembly